GAGUUUGAUCCUGGCUCAGGAUGAACGCUAGCGGCAGGCCUAACACAUGCAAGUCGAGGGGUAACAGGAGGUGCUUGCACCUUGCUGACGACCGGCGCACGGGUGCGUAACGCGUAUACAAUCUACCUUUUGCUGAGGGAUAGCCCAGAGAAAUUUGGAUUAAGACCUCAUGGUAUCAUAUUAUCGCCUGGUAAAAUAAUUAAAGGUUACGGCAAGAGAUGAGUAUGCGUCCUAUUAGCUAGAUGGUGUGGUAACGGCACACCAUGGCUACGAUAGGUAGGGGCCCUGAGAGGGGGACCCCCCACACUGGUACUGAGACACGGACCAGACUCCUACGGGAGGCAGCAGUGAGGAAUAUUGGACAAUGGGCGCAAGCCUGAUCCAGCCAUGCCGCGUGCAGGAAGACUGCCCUAUGGGUUGUAAACUGCUUUUAUACGGGAAGAAACCCACCUACGUGUAGGUGGCUGACGGUACCGUAAGAAUAAGGAUCGGCUAACUCCGUGCCAGCAGCCGCGGUAAUACGGAGGAUCCAAGCGUUAUCCGGAAUCAUUGGGUUUAAAGGGUCCGUAGGUGGAUAAUUAAGUCAGGGGUGAAAGUCUGCAGCUCAACUGUAGAAUUGCCUUUGAUACUGGUUAUCUUGAGUCAUUAUGAAGUGGUUAGAAUGUGUAGUGUAGCGGUGAAAUGCAUAGAUAUUACACAGAAUACCGAUUGCGAAGGCAGAUCACUAAUAAUGUACUGACACUGAUGGACGAAAGCGUGGGUAGCGAACAGGAUUAGAUAC
RNAcentral lists this ribosomal RNA (781 nucleotides) under uncultured bacterium. Its description in RNAcentral is "bacterial SSU rRNA". It matches the Rfam family "Bacterial small subunit ribosomal RNA", at positions 9 to 785 of the family's 1533-position model. The record is from RNAcentral.